GAUGAACGCUGGCGGCGUGCCUAAUACAUGCAAGUCGAGCGAACAGACGAGGAGCUUGCUCCUCUGACGUUAGCGGCGGACGGGUGAGUAACACGUGGAUAACCUACCUAUAAGACUGGGAUAACUUCGGGAAACCGGAGCUAAUACCGGAUAAUAUAUUGAACCGCAUGGUUCAAUAGUGAAAGACGGUUUUGCUGUCACUUAUAGAUGGAUCCGCGCCGCAUUAGCUAGUUGGUAAGGUAACGGCUUACCAAGGCAACGAUGGUUAGCCGACCUGAGAGGGUGAUCGGCCACACGGGAACUGAGACACGGUCCAGACUCCUACGGGAGGCAGCAGUAGGGAAUCUUCCGCAAUGGGCGAAAGCUUGACGGAGCAACGCCGCGUGAGGGAUGAAGGUCUUCGGAUCGUAAAACUCUGUUAUUAGGGAAGAACAAAUGUGUAAGUAACUAUGCACGUCUUGACGGUACCUAAUCAGAAAGCCACGGCUAACUACGUG
This 497-nucleotide ribosomal RNA is filed under the name uncultured bacterium. Its description in RNAcentral is "partial 16S ribosomal RNA". It matches the Rfam family "Bacterial small subunit ribosomal RNA", at positions 28 to 507 of the family's 1533-position model. The record is from RNAcentral.